Molecule: ribosomal RNA, 871 nt
Filed under: uncultured bacterium
Lineage: Bacteria
Description: bacterial SSU rRNA
Rfam family: Bacterial small subunit ribosomal RNA
Source: RNAcentral
GCAAGUCGAGCGGUAGCACAGAGAAGCUUGCUUCUUGGGUGACGAGCGGCGGACGGGUGAGUAACGCGUGGGAAUCUACCUGGUAGUGGGGGACAACAGUCGGAAACGACUGCUAAUACCGCAUACGCCCUUCGGGGGAAAGUGGGGGAUCUUCGGACCUCACGCUAUCAGAUGAGCCCGCGUCGGAUUAGCUUGUUGGUGAGGUAAAGGCUCACCAAGGCGAUGAUCCGUAGCUGGUCUGAGAGGAUGACCAGCCACACUGGGACUGAGACACGGCCCAGACUCCUACGGGAGGCAGCAGUGGGGAAUAUUGGACAAUGGGGGCAACCCUGAUCCAGCCAUGCCGCGUGUGUGAAGAAGGCCUUCGGGUUGUAAAGCACUUUCAGCUGUGAGGAAAGGCGAGUGGUUAAUACCCGCUUGCUGUGACGUUAACAGCAGAAGAAGGACCGGCUAACUCCGUGCCAGCAGCCGCGGUAAUACGGAGGGUCCGAGCGUUAAUCGGAAUUACUGGGCGUAAAGCGCGCGUAGGUGGUUCAGUCAGUCAGAUGUGAAAGCCCCGGGCUCAACCUGGGAACUGCACCUGAUACUGCUGAGCUAGAGUACGGUAGAGGGUAGUGGAAUUUCCGGUGUAGCGGUGAAAUGCGUAGAGAUCGGAAGGAACACCAGUGGCGAAGGCGACUACCUGGACCGAUACUGACACUGAGGUGCGAAAGCGCGGGUAGCAAACAGGAUUAGAUACCCUGAUAGUCCACGCCGUAAACGAUGUCAACUAGCCGUUGGGGGACUUGAUCCUUUAGUGGCGAAGCUAACGCGAUAAGUUGACCGCCUGGGAGUACGGCCGCAAGGUUACAACUCAAAGGAAUUGACGGAA